Molecule: transfer RNA, 97 nt
Rfam family: tRNA
About the family: Transfer RNA (tRNA) molecules are approximately 80 nucleotides in length. Their secondary structure includes four short double-helical elements and three loops (D, anti-codon, and T loops).
UCCGAUAUGGUGUAGUGGUUAACAUCGUCCGCUUUCAAAAGGAGUUAUUCUCCUAAGAUGGUCCGGACAGCCCCGGGUUCGAUUCCCGGUAUCGGAA